Molecule: long non-coding RNA, 2045 nt
Organism: Aquila chrysaetos chrysaetos
Lineage: Eukaryota; Metazoa; Chordata; Aves; Accipitriformes; Accipitridae
Exons: 2
Source: RefSeq, a predicted model, not a curated record
GAGGGUUUGCGGUAAGAGACGCAGGCAUGGCUGGAGAGCCCCAGAGCUCCUCUGCUGAGAGGAGGAUGGCUUGGGGCAAGAAGCGCAGAGCUCCUUUAGAAAGAUGCGGUUUGAUGGCUUGUCACUCCAGCGCCGGGCUGGUCGGAGGAGGAGAAAAAAAUAAGACAUUGCCCGUUGCUGGUGGACUUGAGGUUGGGAUUGCAGGCAGUCGGUGCUUGGGCGGCACAGCCUAGCGGCGUUCCCACGCUCUGCGAAAGCCUUGCUUCAUUUAUAUUGCACAGAAAACUCCGGGCAGUGCCCGAGGGGGAGCAAGCGAGUGCGGAGGGGCGAGCGUCUGUACGUGGGGAGGGAGGGAGAGGUGGCCGCAAAGGAGUUGAAGUGUCUUUUGCGAGCACCCCUCAGCGCGUCUCCCUGCAAGGACCGUACUGGUGGGCAGAGAACCGUAACCCCUUCAUUUACCACCCUUAGCGAAAGGUUCUCUGGCCUUUAAAGGUUAUCGGGCAGCGUUACUGGGUAGUAGGUAAAGCGGCCCUUUUUAGUGCUAGGAGCGCAGAAGACGGCAAAUUUCGCCACGUCUUUUGCAAUGGAGAAAGGAGCAAGCGUCGCACGUCCUGCUCUCUCCGACUUUGCGCAGGGCCAGCCACGAGAUCACUCUAGAAAGAAACUACAAAGGUUAAGCCACACCUAAAGGGCAGAGCAGAAGACGAGGACUGUUUUGUCUUCACAGCAGGAAAUCAUCGUGGGGGAGAACCAAACUGCGUCGAGGUAAUCGCCAGAAAGUCUCUCAAAGGAGGUGCAGUUUCUGAACAGAGGUUCAGAAUAGCUUUGACCGCACCACGUGAGGUCAGGCUACACCAUUUGUAGAGUAAUCCUAAAGGACAGCAGGUUCUCCAAUCUCAGAGAGGUGCUCUAAGGAUAAAAUUCACUAAUGCUGGUGAAAGAUGCUUGGAUACUACAGGGAACAGCACCACAGAAAAGCCUAAGAAUACUGAAUUCAUAUUUGCAUGUUCUAAUUGUGCCUUUGGGUUCUCUAAAAUUGACUUGUUUUUAGUUUCACGGAAAUACUUUUAAAAUGGGAAGCGGGGAGUAGCGUCUGGAAGCAGCAUCCUGAAAAAGGGCAACCCAAAGUCUGAGGACUCUGGCUCGGGAAAGAGGGGAAAGGGUGUUCGGGGGGCCUCGUCUUUUCCCGACCUGGCCCUCCGACCGCGGAGUAUUCCGCAGGACAACGUCUUGUUCUGUUCUCAGCAGGCUUACAACGCUGAAAGAGGCAAGAGCAGUAGCUGGCCACGCUUCAGGGCACGCUGCGGUUGCAUUGGGCUUCAGGUCAAUUAUCUAAAUACCUUUCUGUAGAGAAAAAGCCCCAUUUUUUCAGUUCGUUUCUGUAAUUUGAAGGUAAAUCUGAGAACUAGGCAAAUGCGUAUUUCACCUGAGAGGUAUCGCUUGUUUUUCAUUUCUGUCAGAAUUUCUUUCAGUAUCAGAUUCAGAUUCUUUCUUUCAGGAUAAAGCUGUCUUUAUGCAAAGCAGGGUGCCUAAUAGCCAUCCUCAACUACUUAAACAAGUCAAUUUUGCAAGGACUGUAGGUGUCAAGCCAGAGCACCGUUUGGGACUACAGUACAGGGAUCCUAGAUUUUAAACGAAAUGUUACCUCAUGCAUCAUUUUCUGCCAUACUUGUAGCAUUCCAGUUGAUUUCUCUCAAAAUAAACGUUGCUUUCUGUAAUUUGUACACAUGCUAAAGCUACUGGUUUGGUUUUUUAACAACCAUUUUACACAUUUGCUUUACACAUGUGGGUUUUCUCUAAACUCUAAAGAAACAAUGAAGGUUAAAACUUUGUACAUUUUUAAAAUGACUGCUAAGGUCAAAAGUAUAAAAGUACGUGUUGCAUUAAAAUUGAGUGCUGUUUAUGUAUUUAACAGAGAUGUAUGGUUUUGCAUUGUUAAAAAGAAUGAUCUAUGCUUUCUCUGGGGGGGGAUCUGUGCUCCAAUAUUGUCCAAUAGCUUUCAUAUUCUAACUACUUUAAGUAAAGUUCUAACAGUUUGCAUAUGA